Cephus cinctus (wheat stem sawfly) is the source of this 2296-nucleotide RNA transcript. RefSeq lists it as uncharacterized. The record is from RefSeq and is a predicted model, not a curated record. The transcript has 4 exons. NCBI's taxonomy places the organism in Eukaryota, Metazoa, Arthropoda, Insecta, Hymenoptera, Cephidae.
GUCUGUCGUUAGUUGCGAACGGAGUUACCGACCGAGUCUAUCGGAUGUGGCGCUUCGUACGUCCGUCAGAUGUUAGACCGGUGCGUUACUCGUGGAGGUGUUAAUUCAAGAAACCUUUGGACUAAUUUCUUGAAAAUUUAAUCGAGUCUUUCCACAUUCGCUGAUCGCGCAGUAAUACUGUCACUGGUGUAACGUCGUGUCGGUAACCGCGGCCAUCUUGAGACCCUUUGGACAGUUGGGAUGACGAAAUCGUAAGGGCACUGUCACGAAAUCAUAAACAAUUUAAGCAAGCAUAAGUGACAAGGCAACUGGAGGAGAUAAGGCGAAGGCACUGAUAGAGCCAACCCAAGUAACACUAACGGGUGUAUCAUUACAAGACGAACGUGUCUAAUGCGAUAAGUACUUCUUUAUCUAGCUUGUUUUUGGUAAUUGUGUAGACGCGCAAAAACUGCUGGAAAAGAACCGGGUAAGUUAACCCAAAAUACAAAUCUACGCAAGGUUCAAGUUCUUUCAGUGAAUUUUUACCGUAGUAGACGAUUCUAAAUGUUACCAAGAGCUAACCUAAAACUGGUGAAUAUACUUAAAAAAUUAUAAAGGGGUACUCGAGACUGAAUGCCAGUCCAAUCUGGUUACCAGUCUCUCGUUGGGGGCUGUAGGCGAAGUAUUUCUCAGAAUUACAGUCUCCACCACCACUGCCAGUAUUAUCCUAUUGCGCGAUACUACUCGUUGCAAGUCCUCGAGCGAACUCGGCUGUCUUAAUCUCAAAAGUGCCACGUGUUCGAUCAUACAUAUAUAUGCAUAUAUAAAUUGAAAUUUCACGCGCUCCAGGAAAAAUGACCAGAGUAGAAGGCGCUUAUAACAAGCGAGCUUAUGACCAGAUUGAACUGUGCUGCAUUGUCACUGUAUACGUAUCCACCAUAUCGUCAUAUUCGACGAAUCGCGACUGGCCUCCUAUAAACAUGCCUGAACCUGUCUCUAACGCCAAAGCAUCGCCGGUCGUCAGGACUCGGUUAAAUUUUCAAUUUCAACGACAGCCUCGUCGGAUUUCGACAAAGGCUCGUUCCUGUAUAAACCCGAAAAUAUCCAUCUCAGCCGGUAUGUUGAAACCUGGCAUAAGUUCUGGCCCGCCGCCAGGAAAACGGGAUGUGCUGGUGGAGGCCACGCCAAAGGCUGCCACGGCGUGGAGACAGUACCAGGAGUACCAGCAUCGGCACCAUCAUCGCCAUCAGCCGAGCAGACACAGCGGCCCAACGUCGGAGCCGCGUACACGUCUGUUCUCCUGUUGUCGGUGUCUAUUCGUCCGUCAUGGUUGCUGACACGGGUCUGAUGGCACGCCGAAAAUAUACCAACAUGUCACACGGCAACGGGAACCUCUUACAAAUCGACUGUAUCAUUCACUACAUGGACACUGCUAUUCAUCCGAAAACUGCCGGACGAGCUGGAGAAGGUCUCUAACCAAUUGGGCAUACACGCGUCAUGCAGAGAAACAAAAGCGGCCACAACCUCCACUUGGUCUCUCGGAGCAGCGUCCCCGUCGAGUCUCGAAGUGCGUAAAAAAGGUCGAAGCAGCCGCGUCUCUCAGUCACGCACCGACGUGGCCACAAUGGGCAAAGUCAUAAAUAGUCGGUGGGUAAGAGUGUCGGGUUAAAGCCGGGCCCACACGUGAACGACGCACCGGGUGCUUUUCCGUGAACGACCGAGUAUGACGGAGAAAUCGAUUUGAAUUUCGCGCGCUUCGUUCGUCUCGUCUUGCGACAGAAACGUAGGAAAUAAAUAAAGUUGAGAAAAAGUUUCGGCGAAUUAUCCAAAUCCUGAUUUAUAUCCCAUCGAGCGUUCUACGCGGAUAGACGAACGGAUCAACGAAGAUCCUAGAGGAAAUAAAUGAAAAGCAGCAGCCAACAAUAUUCCGAAAGAAUGUCUUCGAGUUUCGAAGUAUUUUUAGAUACAAUCUCGAUGGGCCCUCGAGGAACCAAUUUAUACGGCACUGACCCUUUUAUUCUCCAUCGUUUAUCACCGUACAAUGUUGUUCCAGCCAAAUUUAAAGAGAUCGACGAGUGACGUCAGACCUUACAAGAAUACAGAUACGGACGAAAGAAAAUUGAAAACUAAAGACAAGCAAUCAGCGACUGUCUUAAUAAAACAAUAACCCUGCUAAACGACAAAUAACCGUAUCGGGUAUACGUCUAAACUAAUAAUAAUUUCCCGAAGGGCUGGAAACCGACGCUGAGUAACGCAACGGUGAACGUAUUUACGGAGCAGGGCCUACCAGCAAUAAUAAACUUGGCGUAAUGGUAAA